UCAAGUGAAGAAGCGCAUACGGUGGAUGCCUUGGCAGUCAGAGGCGAUGAAAGACGUGGUAGCCUGCGAAAAGCUUCGGGGAGUCGGCAAACAGACUUUGAUCCGGAGAUCUCUGAAUGGGGGAACCCACCUAGGAUAACCUAGGUAUCUUGUACUGAAUCCAUAGGUGCAAGAGGCGAACCAGGGGAACUGAAACAUCUAAGUACCCUGAGGAAAAGAAAUCAACCGAGAUUCCCUUAGUAGUGGCGAGCGAACGGGGAUUAGCCCUUAAGCUUCAUUGAUUUUAGCGGAACGCUCUGGAAAGUGCGGCCAUAGUGGGUGAUAGCCCCGUACGCGAAAGGAUCUUUGAAGUGAAAUCGAGUAGGACGGAGCACGAGAAACUUUGUCUGAACAUGGGGUGCAGGGGGACCAUCCUCCAAGGCUAAAUACUACUGACUGACCGAUAGUGAACCAGUACCGUGAGGGAAAGGCGAAAAGAACCCCGGAGAGGGGAGUGAAAUAGAACCUGAAACCGUAUGCGUACAAGCAGUGGGAGCCUACUUGUUAGGUGACUGCGUACCUUUUGUAUAAUGGGUCAGCGACUUAUAUUCAGUGGCAAGCUUAACCGUAUAGGGUAGGCGUAGCGAAAGCGAGUCUUAAUAGGGCGUUUAGUCGCUGGGUAUAGACCCGAAACCGGGCGAUCUAUCCAUGAGCAGGUUGAAGGUUAGGUAACACUGACUGGAGGACCGAACCCACUCCCGUUGAAAAGGUAGGGGAUGACUUGUGGAUCGGAGUGAAAGGCUAAUCAAGCUCGGAGAUAGCUGGUUCUCCUCGAAAGCUAUUUAGGUAGCGCCUCAUGUAUCACUCUGGGGGGUAGAGCACUGUUUCGGCUAGGGGGUCAUCCCGACUUACCAAACCGAUGCAAACUCCGAAUACCCAGAAGUGCCGAGCAUGGGAGACACACGGCGGGUGCUAACGUCCGUCGUGAAAAGGGAAACAACCCAGACCGCCAGCUAAGGUCCCAAAGUUGUGGUUAAGUGGUAAACGAUGUGGGAAGGCUUAGACAGCUAGGAGGUUGGCUUAGAAGCAGCCAUCCUUUAAAGAAAGCGUAAUAGCUCACUAGUCGAGUCGGCCUGCGCGGAAGAUGUAACGGGGCUCAAACCACACACCGAAGCUGCGGGUGUCACGUAAGUGACGCGGUAGAGGAGCGUUCUGUAAGCCUGUGAAGGUGAGUUGAGAAGCUUGCUGGAGGUAUCAGAAGUGCGAAUGCUGACAUGAGUAACGACAAUGGGUGUGAAAAACACCCACGCCGAAAGACCAAGGGUUCCUGCGCAACGUUAAUCGACGCAGGGUUAGUCGGUUCCUAAGGCGAGGCUGAAAAGCGUAGUCGAUGGGAAACAGGUUAAUAUUCCUGUACUUCUGGUUACUGCGAUGGAGGGACGGAGAAGGCUAGGCCAGCUUGGCGUUGGUUGUCCAAGUUUAAGGUGGUAGGCUGAAAUCUUAGGUAAAUCCGGGGUUUCAAGGCCGAGAGCUGAUGACGAGUCGUCUUUUAGAUGACGAAGUGGUUGAUGCCAUGCUUCCAAGAAAAGCUUCUAAGCUUCAGGUAACCAGGAACCGUACCCCAAACCGACACAGGUGGUCGGGUAGAGAAUACCAAGGCGCUUGAGAGAACUCGGGUGAAGGAACUAGGCAAAAUGGCACCGUAACUUCGGGAGAAGGUGCGCCGGCUAGGGUGAAGGAUUUACUCCGUAAGCUCUGGCUGGUCGAAGAUACCAGGCCGCUGCGACUGUUUAUUAAAAACACAGCACUCUGCAAACACGAAAGUGGACGUAUAGGGUGUGACGCCUGCCCGGUGCCGGAAGGUUAAUUGAUGGGGUUAGCGCAAGCGAAGCUCUUGAUCGAAGCCCCGGUAAACGGCGGCCGUAACUAUAACGGUCCUAAGGUAGCGAAAUUCCUUGUCGGGUAAGUUCCGACCUGCACGAAUGGCGUAACGAUGGCGGCGCUGUCUCCACCCGAGACUCAGUGAAAUUGAAAUCGCUGUGAAGAUGCAGUGUAUCCGCGGCUAGACGGAAAGACCCCGUGAACCUUUACUGUAGCUUUGCACUGGACUUUGAGCCUGCUUGUGUAGGAUAGGUGGGAGGCUUUGAAGCGUGGACGCCAGUUCGCGUGGAGCCAUCCUUGAAAUACCACCCUGGCAUGCUUGAGGUUCUAACUCUGGUCCGUGAUCCGGAUCGAGGACAGUGUAUGGUGGGCAGUUUGACUGGGGCGGUCUCCUCCUAAAGAGUAACGGAGGAGUACGAAGGUGCGCUCAGACCGGUCGGAAAUCGGUCGCAGAGUAUAAAGGCAAAAGCGCGCUUGACUGCGAGACAGACACGUCGAGCAGGUACGAAAGUAGGUCUUAGUGAUCCGGUGGUUCUGUAUGGAAGGGCCAUCGCUCAACGGAUAAAAGGUACUCCGGGGAUAACAGGCUGAUACCGCCCAAGAGUUCAUAUCGACGGCGGUGUUUGGCACCUCGAUGUCGGCUCAUCACAUCCUGGGGCUGAAGCCGGUCCCAAGGGUAUGGCUGUUCGCCAUUUAAAGUGGUACGCGAGCUGGGUUUAGAACGUCGUGAGACAGUUCGGUCCCUAUCUGCCGUGGACGUUUGAGAUUUGAGAGGGGCUGCUCCUAGUACGAGAGGACCGGAGUGGACGAACCUCUGGUGUUCCGGUUGUCACGCCAGUGGCAUUGCCGGGUAGCUAUGUUCGGAAAAGAUAACCGCUGAAAGCAUCUAAGCGGGAAACUUGCCUCAAGAUGAGAUCUCACUGGGAACUUGAUUCCCCUGAAGGGCCGUCGAAGACUACGACGUUGAUAGGCUGGGUGUGUAAGCGUUGUGAGGCGUUGAGCUAACCAGUACUAAUUGCCCGUGAGGCUUGACC
This 2894-nucleotide ribosomal RNA is filed under the name Pseudomonas aeruginosa DK1. RNAcentral describes it as "bacterial LSU rRNA". It matches the Rfam family "Bacterial large subunit ribosomal RNA". Lineage: Bacteria; Pseudomonadati; Pseudomonadota; Gammaproteobacteria; Pseudomonadales; Pseudomonadaceae. The record is from RNAcentral.